CAAAAUUUGUCGUGGCCGAAAUAUCUGUGGAGUCGACUCAAUGGUUUCAACCGUUGCAGCUGCAAGUACCUCACAGUAGGAUAUGAAUUAGUAUUACCUUCAUAUUGACUCACCUUAACUCAAUUCUGUACGUAAAAGUGUAACUGAUUCCAUAACUACAAACUUUCUUCCUUCUAUUUAAGACAAAACACCGAUUUAUUAGAAGAUUGUUCACUAAAUGUUUAGCCCUUCAUCUUUUUAUUUCUAACAACGAAUGAAGUCCAUGGUUAAGUAGCAUAAACAAAAGAAUGGGAGCAAAAAUCAUUUAUCCAACUAUCAUAGUAUCCCUGCUUGUACACACUUGAUCUUGUUGACGUUGAAAGCAGGGACGUAUUUGGGUGGGGGGGGGGGGGGGGGCCCCGGGCAUCGUGUCCAUACAUAUGCUCUAAGCAUUUGGAUCACGGUGUCUUGUUGGUAGGUUAUGGUUCGGCUGGCUAUGCUCCAAUUCGAAUGAAAGAAAAACCAUUCUGGAUCAUAAAGAACUCGUGGGGUGAGAAGUGGGGAGAGAAGGGAUACUACAAAAUUUGUCGUGGCCGAAAUAUCUGUGGAGUCGACUCAAUGGUUUCAACCGUUGCAGCUGCAAGUACCUCACAGUAGGAUAUGAAUUAGUAUUACCUUCAUAUUGACUCACCUUAACUCAAUUCUGUACGUAAAAGUGUAACUGAUUCCAUAACUACAAACUUUCUUCCUUCUAUUUAAGACAAAACACCGAUUUAUUAGAAGAUUGUUCACUAAAUGUUUAGCCCUUCAUCUUUUUAUUUCUAACAACGAAUGAAG
Molecule: long non-coding RNA, 816 nt
Filed under: Olea europaea (common olive)
Lineage: Eukaryota; Viridiplantae; Streptophyta; Magnoliopsida; Lamiales; Oleaceae
Description: long non-coding RNA (OEUR_LNC005855)
Source: RNAcentral